GACGAACGCUGGCGGCGUGGAUUAGGCAUGCAAGUCGAACGGUAUCAUCCUUUCGGGGGUGAGAGAGUGGCGAACUGGUGAGUAACACGUAGGUUAUCUACCCUCAAGACGGGGACAACCCAGGGAAACUUGGGCUAAUACCGGAUGUGAGCAACUUUUAGUUGUUUGAAAGGUGGCGUAAGCUGUCGCUUGGGGAUGAGCCUGCGUCCUAUUAGUUAGUUGGUGAGGUAACGGCUCACCUAGGCAAUGAUAGGUAGGCGGCCUUAACGGGUGGUCGCCCACACUGGGAUUGAGAUACGGCCCAGACUCCUACGGGAGGCAGCAGUCGAGAAUAGUCUACAAUGGUCGGAAGACUGAUAGUGCGACGCCGCGUGAACGAUGAAUCCCUUCGGGGUGUAAAAGUUCUUUUAUAUGUGAGCAGUGCUUCUUAUAUUAACAGUAUGGGGAGAGAGAUAUUAAGCAUAUGAAUAAGCAAGCGAACUACUCGCAGCACGCGGAAACGUAA
Molecule: ribosomal RNA, 505 nt
Filed under: uncultured bacterium
Lineage: Bacteria
Description: bacterial SSU rRNA
Rfam family: Bacterial small subunit ribosomal RNA
Source: RNAcentral